Long non-coding RNA from Chiroxiphia lanceolata (lance-tailed manakin), 3196 nucleotides. RefSeq lists it as uncharacterized. NCBI's taxonomy places the organism in Eukaryota, Metazoa, Chordata, Aves, Passeriformes, Pipridae. The record is from RefSeq and is a predicted model, not a curated record. The transcript has 2 exons.
AUGGGAUGUAUUAACAUGUCCUUAACAACAACCGCCCCCAAAAGCCCCCAGCACCCACAACAUACAAGUUUAUGAGAAGAUGGAAUUUUCUCACUAAAGCUGUUACUGUGGACAUGGUGGGGAGCUGGGAUGGGGCCCCUGAGGAGCCUGUGUGGAACCAUUGAGCCUCCUGAGUUGAGGUGACAGUGCUGGAUUGUCACAUCUCAGGACUGAUAGAGCAGUGUUAGGUCAGGAUGUUCAUGAAGUGUCGCAGCUGUUUGCAGAGUGGCUGUCACUUUGAAAGCAGCACAGUCAUACUCAUCUUGUCCUUGACCUGUGCCUGCAGCCUCUCCUGCUUUGGUCACAAGGUGUCAGGCCUCAUACACCUGUGUCUUUUCUAGUUUCUCUCAAGAGCCUGGUGGCAGGGAGGUUUCUGGUCUUGCCAAAACCCAACAAAAAGUGUAGUUUUUCCUGCAGCUUUUCAGCUUAUAUAUGUUUUGCCACAGAGAUCUGUGUUUGUCUCUUGGUACUUCUACUUCGUGUGUGACCCUUUCCCCUUUGGGCUAGGAUCUUUUCCCAUUUUCAUGAUGACUCCUCAGAACUUGGUCUUCCAGCCUCCUACCCCCCCUUAUGUUUAUAAUUAAAAUAUUUUUGUUCCAUUUGUUCACUUAGGUGGGUUUUGUCCAUGAAUAGAACCUCCUGACAUCACUCAGAGUCUUGGGUAAUAUCUGUGGUGGGGCAGUAGUAGGUGACAUUUGAGGUGUUGCUGUUUGAGGUGAUGCUGCUUCAUUGACUCUGAAUACCUUCCUGUUCUGUUGAGAUCUUCCGUCUGUGUAGUGCUGCCUUCCUAGCACUGCUGAGAGCCAGCUUGGAAGAGUUUCCAGCUUCUAGAGCAGUACCAGCGGUAGCAGAAAGGAUGAGAUCAAGCCUUUUCUGGCUUCGAGGGUUUGCUCUAUUGCCUGAGUCCUUUCUAAUAGAAAUGUUACUUCUUGUGGCCCAAGAGUUUUGGAUCCAGAGGUCAGCUUGGUUUGAGUGAGUUUUAGAGAUUUAGAUCUGCACACUGACAGGAGGAUCCCAUCAACCAUUACUGCUUCUUGGAACAGUUGGUCACAUCCAUUUGAGGCAAGUGAUUUUCUUCUGGGUUCUUUGGUCUCUGGCCUGUGCUGGAUCAUGAGCCUGGCUUAGCUUAUGUCUCUUGAUCUCUUUAGGGUUCAGGAAAUGAAGAUUUCUUUGGUUUCAUUCCUAUUUUAGGGAAAUAGGAUGUUGUGAUCACUGCUCUUGAAUCUUAAAAUCUGUAGAUUCUCUGAAAUUGGUGGGGUUUUGUAUUCAUGGCUUUUGGCCAUUAGUCUUAAAAGAUGCUCUCAGGGAGAACACUGCCUCCUGCAAUGGCACCUUGUUGGUGACAUCUUGACAGGUAUCAUCACUUAUACUUGCGUAGGCAACACAAAAUCUUGCAGCCUGCCUGUUUGUCAUUCAUGUGAGUACAUCAGUCAUUUAGGAAUUUAAAUCCUUGCCUGUUCCUAGUGGAUUUGUCUUAAAAAAAGUGUGAGUAAAUGCCAGUUAAUGUCACUGCUCCACAACAUUAUGAAACGCCUAAGUGACUGUUGUGUUUUAUUUCAUCUGCAGAAUGUUCAGGUUGAUCCGUCUUUGAACAGUUUCUCUCUCCUUAAUGGGCAGUUUGGAAAAAUUAAUGAUCUGUUCCAGAGUAGCUGGGAUUUCUUUUUAUUCUGCAUUCUCAAGAGAAGCAUCCAACACAUGGCAGGAGGAACAGAGUUAAAAAGAAGAAAGAUUUGCUGCUAAAGUCAAGAAACUUGGAUAUUUAUUACUUAGCACGGACCAACCCUCCAAACUGGUAUUAAAAGACUGAGGUGUAGAAACAGCUGAAAUCAGCUCUGGCAGUACAUCACAUUUCUUUUAGUGAACUGAAGCAACAGCUCAGAUGAUGAAGGAUAGACACUGCGAUGGGCACUAAAGCAUGGACUUGCAGUGUGCACUCUGAUGGCAGGUACUCCUGUCUGGUCCUGGUGGUCUGACAUACCUGGGGAAGGCUUAGGCGCUUGCGUGUCUUAACUGUGGUUUUCUCUAUUUAUUAAUUUUAGUGUUGAUUGAAAUGUUUGUCUUUAUUUAUAGCAUAUCCAGAGCUGUGUUGCAACAGAGAAGGUAAGUUUACAGGUGGGGGCCAGGGGAGGAAGAGUUGACGGACAAGCUCUGGAUAGUUAAUCUUUUCCUGGGUUUUUUUUAUGAUACACAUCCUUAAAGUUUUAUGGACAGCUGUCAAAUUGAUCAGACAGCUGCUGAAACCAUUACAAAAACAAUUUGAGAAGUAGAUUUUUAACUGUUCCUGAAGUAUUUAUUUAUCCUUCAAGAUGUAGACAGAUGCAAAGUCAACCAGUCUGUUGCAGUGAGAUAUUUUUUCCUGUUCAUUUUCUUGAUUGAGAAUUCCUGUUAGUGUAGCACUUGUUGCUAGAAACCAUGAGGCCGGUCAUGCUCAUUUUUCUCUGCGGUGAGUUUUGUGCUCUCCUGCUGGAGCUCAUGCUCUCCUCUCUGUGAUGGGGGAUGGCUGGUUGCUCUUAGCUGUGCUCUAAAGACAAGAAUUCCUGGGUGAGAGGUCAAGUUUAGGUUGUGUUUGUUCUGAGCCCAGUAAAACAUUAGCUACUAUAUAUCUUGAUUCUCUGGUUUGGCUUAUAAAGGACUUGCCUGUGAAUGCACGUGGGUCACCUUGUUUUGGAACGGGGUAAUUAAUUCUGGGUUUCUUCCUUAGGUAACCAAGCAAACAGUCUCAGAUAUGCUUUGCUAGCAGAACCUGUGUAGACAGCAAGGUUUUAUUAUCCCUGGGGGAAAAAUGUACUACAAGGGCAUGAAACCUAAAAUACCUUGAAUGAAAUAUCUUAAUGCCCCAACUUGGAGAAUGAUGUAGACAAUCCUGGAUAUGAAUUUUGUUUUAACCACUCAGUGAAGUUCAGUGUACUAUGUGUACUUCUGCAGGAAUGUGAACAUCCCAGGAAUUGGCUGGCUACCUGAAGAGCCCUGGCACCUGCCUGUUGUGGCAAGGGACUUGAGCAGUGGACGUGCCCACAGUAGCACUUCAGGUGGGUGUGUUACCUGUAUUUGAAGUCUUUUCUAGUUCUCUGCAUUGUACCAGAAACUGCACGUGCCUUGUAACAAUCUGUUGGGUCCUCUUGUAUGUCACUUUUCCUAAUAAACAUCUUUAGAAGUC